AGAGUUUGAUUCUGGCUCAGAUUGAACGCUGGCGGCGUGCCUAACACAUGCAAGUCGAGCGGUAACAGGUGUAGCAAUACAUGCUGACGAGCGGCGAACGGGUGAGUAAUGCUUCGGAAUCUGCCCAAUGGUGGGGAAUAACCAGCCGAAAGGUUGGCUAAUACCGCAUACGUCCUACGGGAGAAAGCAGGGGAUCGUAAGACCUUGCGCCAAUGGAUGAGCCGAAGUCGGAUUAGCUAGUUGGUAGGGUAACGGCCUACCAAGGCGACGAUCCGUAGCUGGUCUGAGAGGACGACCAGCCACACUGGGACUGAGACACGGCCCAGACUCCUACGGGAGGCAGCAGUGGGGAAUAUUGGACAAUGGGGGAAACCCUGAUCCAGCGACGCCGCGUGUGUGAAGAAGGCCUGCGGGUUGUAAAGCACUUUUAGUGGGGAUGAAAAGUUCAGGGCUAACACCUCUGGAUCUUGACCUAACCCACAGAAAAAGCACCGGCUAACUCUGUGCCAGCAGCCGCGGUAAUACAGAGGGUGCAAGCGUUAAUCGGAAUUACUGGGCGUAAAGCGUGCGUAGACGGUUACAUAAGUCGGGUGUGAAAGCCCCGGGCUCAACCUGGGAAUUGCAUUCGAGACUGCGUAGCUAGGGUGCGGAAGAGGGAAGCGGAAUUUCCGGUGUAGCGGUGAAAUGCGUAGAUAUCGGAAGGAACACCAGUGGCGAAAGCGGCUUCCUGGUCCAGCACCGACGUUCAGGCACGAAAGCGU
Molecule: ribosomal RNA, 761 nt
Filed under: uncultured bacterium
Lineage: Bacteria
Description: bacterial SSU rRNA
Rfam family: Bacterial small subunit ribosomal RNA
Source: RNAcentral